This 490-nucleotide ribosomal RNA is filed under the name uncultured bacterium. RNAcentral describes it as "partial 16S ribosomal RNA". It matches the Rfam family "Bacterial small subunit ribosomal RNA", at positions 30 to 507 of the family's 1533-position model. The record is from RNAcentral.
AUUGAACGCUGGCGGCAGGCCUAACACAUGCAAGUCGAACGGUAACAGGAAGAAGCUUGCUUCUUUGCUGACGAGUGGCGGACGGGUGAGUAAUGUCUGGGAAACUGCCUGAUGGAGGGGGAUAACUACUGGAAACGGUAGCUAAUACCGCAUAACGUCGCAAGACCAAAGAGGGGGCCCUUCGGGCCUCUUGCCAUCGGAUGUGCCCAGAUGGGAUUAGCUAGUAGGUGGGGUAACGGCUCACCUAGGCGACGAUCCCUAGCUGGUCUGAGAGGAUGACCAGCCACACUGGAACUGAGACACGGUCCAGACUCCUACGGGAGGCAGCAGUGGGGAAUAUUGCACAAUGGGCGCAAGCCUGAUGCAGCCAUGCCGCGUGUAUGAAGAAGGCCUUCGGGUUGUAAAGUACUUUCAGCGGGGAGGAAGGGAGUAAAGUUAAUACCUUUGCUCAUUGACGUUACCCGCAGAAGAAGCACCGGCUAACUCCGUG